AUUGAACGCUGGCGGCAGGCCUAACACAUGCAAGUCGAGCGGAUGAAGGGAGCUUGCUCCUGGAUUCAGCGGCGGACGGGUGAGUAAUGCCUAGGAAUCUGCCUGGUAGUGGGGGAUAACGUCCGGAAACGGGCGCUAAUACCGCAUACGUCCUGAGGGAGAAAGUGGGGGAUCUUCGGACCUCACGCUAUCAGAUGAGCCUAGGUCGGAUUAGCUAGUUGGUGGGGUAAAGGCCUACCAAGGCGACGAUCCGUAACUGGUCUGAGUGGAUGAUCAGUCACACUGGAACUGAGACACGGUCCAGACUCCUACGGGAGGCAGCAGUGGGGAAUAUUAGACAAUGGGCGAAAGCCUGAUCCAGCCAUGCCGCGUGUGUGAAGAAGGUCUUCGGAUUGUAAAGCACUUUAAGUUGGGAGGAAGGGCAGCAAGUUAAUACCUUGCUGUUUUGACGUUACCAACAGAAUAAGCACCGGCUAACUUCGUG
This 484-nucleotide ribosomal RNA is filed under the name uncultured bacterium. Its description in RNAcentral is "partial 16S ribosomal RNA". It matches the Rfam family "Bacterial small subunit ribosomal RNA", at positions 30 to 507 of the family's 1533-position model. The record is from RNAcentral.